GGUCGCGUAUAACUAUAACUUUUCAUAACAACGAAAUAGAUAAAGAGAAUUUUCGUGUCGUUUAAACUUUUACCGCGUCUUGCGUUUGACCAGUUGACCCGACAGUUGACUGCCGUUGACUGGGGGGAUGGAGAAUGGGAAAUGAUAUUUGAAGUUUAAUGACCCAAAACAUAAGUUUCAUAAGAUCAUAAAGUUUAUUGAUUAAGUACGGGAC
This 214-nucleotide long non-coding RNA is filed under the name Helianthus annuus (common sunflower). RNAcentral's name for it is "sRNA HanXRQr2_Chr08g0341921". Lineage: Eukaryota; Viridiplantae; Streptophyta; Magnoliopsida; Asterales; Asteraceae. The record is from RNAcentral.